UACGUAGGGGGCGAGCGUUGUCCGGAUUUAUUGGGCGUAAACGGCUUGUCGGUGGCCACGUCAAGUCGGAUGUGAAAUCUCCCGGCUCAACUGGGAGGGGUCAUUCGAUACUGGCGGGCUCGAGGCCGGUAGGGGGAAGCGGAAUUCCCGGUGUAGUGGUGGAAUGCGUAGAUAUCGGGAGGAACACCUGUGGCGAAAGCGGCUCACUGGACCAUAACUGACGCUGAUGCACGAAAGCUAGGGGAGCAAACAGG
This 254-nucleotide ribosomal RNA is filed under the name uncultured bacterium. Its description in RNAcentral is "partial 16S ribosomal RNA". It matches the Rfam family "Bacterial small subunit ribosomal RNA", at positions 524 to 776 of the family's 1533-position model. The record is from RNAcentral.